RNAcentral lists this transfer RNA (67 nucleotides) under marine eukaryotic metagenome. It matches the Rfam family "tRNA", at positions 5 to 66 of the family's 71-position model. Rfam says of the family: Transfer RNA (tRNA) molecules are approximately 80 nucleotides in length. Their secondary structure includes four short double-helical elements and three loops (D, anti-codon, and T loops). The record is from RNAcentral.
GGAUGUAGCUCAGUGGUGAGAGCGCCAGGUUGUGGCCCUGGAGGUCGCGGGUUCGAAUCCCGUCAUU